Molecule: long non-coding RNA, 731 nt
Filed under: Elaeis guineensis (African oil palm)
Lineage: Eukaryota; Viridiplantae; Streptophyta; Magnoliopsida; Arecales; Arecaceae
Description: long non-coding RNA (EGUI_LNC073795)
Source: RNAcentral
UGACUCUCGAUGCUGUAGUGGUGUGAUUGAUUCGACCUACGGUACCUCGGCUACCAUAAUGGGGUUGCUGUAGUUUGACUAUGUAGAAAAUCUCAUCUCAUGCAUUUCGGUAUGCACAAAAACUUUUAAACAAAGUAGUGGAAUAAAAAUUUCUAAAUUAUUUUCAGUAUCAUUUUAGGACAACCAUUCAACAUAAUAUUUUAUCAUUAUGCCAAGGCAACCCUAUGUCUGAACGAUAUUAAAAUAAUUUUUGAUUAGAUCUAAUCUAAUCUAGCAUGCAUAAAAAGAUCAUAUUUCAAAAUAAAGUCCAAGCAUCAUCAUUAAAUACAAGAUUAAAGACCUAAAAGGAAGGAUCUGGAUUUAUACUUUUGUGUGGGUAGAUCUUCACCACGAUCCGAUGGUCUGUGAAUAUUUUCGAGGUCCCAUUGUAGCUACACAAGUAUCCACCUCUAUAAAUAUCCACAUGAGGCUGAUCUGAUAAGGAGAUCCCGAUCUUAUCGAGAUGCUAGCUCCUUUACAGAGAUCGUUCCCUCGAUUGUUGAAUUGAUUUGAUCUUUUGAUUUUAUUUAAAAAAAAAAGAUCUUACAUGAGGAGGAAGAAAUCAGAUCAUAUCUGAUUUUUUUUUUUAUUUUCUCUUCUCAAGAGAAUUGAAAGAAGAUCUAGAGAAGAGGAGAGAUCAAAUCUCCUUCUUCUCUUUUGUUUGUCUAACUCUUGGAUAACUUUCUAGGAGA